UUCGUCCCGGAGUUCGUAUCAGGAGUGUGUUUGCAAAGAAUAUGACAAAUUUUGCGUUAUUGCAAAGUUGAAACUGUAAAUGCACUAUCUGGUACGACACCCCGGGGCGU
Molecule: microRNA precursor, 110 nt
Filed under: Papilio xuthus (Asian swallowtail)
Lineage: Eukaryota; Metazoa; Arthropoda; Insecta; Lepidoptera; Papilionidae
Description: mir-277 microRNA precursor family
Rfam family: mir-277 microRNA precursor family
Source: Rfam by way of RNAcentral